RNAcentral lists this ribosomal RNA (452 nucleotides) under Bacillus sp. R-43589. Its description in RNAcentral is "bacterial SSU rRNA". It matches the Rfam family "Bacterial small subunit ribosomal RNA", at positions 28 to 468 of the family's 1533-position model. RNAcentral also lists the same sequence under 1 other name. The record is from RNAcentral. Lineage: Bacteria; Bacillati; Bacillota; Bacilli; Caryophanales; Bacillaceae.
GAUGAACGCUGGCGGCGUGCCUAAUACAUGCAAGUCGAGCGAAUGGAUUAAGAGCUUGCUCUUAUGAAGUUAGCGGCGGACGGGUGAGUAACACGUGGGUAACCUACCCAUAAGACUGGGAUAACUCCGGGAAACCGGGGCUAAUACCGGAUAAUAUUUUGAACUGCAUAGUUCGAAAUUGAAAGGCGGCUUCGGCUGUCACUUAUGGAUGGACCCGCGUCGCAUUAGCUAGUUGGUGAGGUAACGGCUCACCAAGGCGACGAUGCGUAGCCGACCUGAGAGGGUGAUCGGCCACACUGGGACUGAGACACGGCCCAGACUCCUACGGGAGGCAGCAGUAGGGAAUCUUCCGCAAUGGACGAAAGUCUGACGGAGCAACGCCGCGUGAGUGAUGAAGGCUUUCGGGUCGUAAAACUCUGUUGUUAGGGAAGAACAAGUGCUAGUUGAAUAAG